Molecule: ribosomal RNA, 492 nt
Filed under: uncultured bacterium
Lineage: Bacteria
Description: partial 16S ribosomal RNA
Rfam family: Bacterial small subunit ribosomal RNA
Source: RNAcentral
AGUGAACGCUGGCGGUAGGCCUAACACAUGCAAGUCGAACGGCAGCACAGUAAGAGCUUGCUCUUACGGGUGGCGAGUGGCGGACGGGUGAGGAAUACAUCGGAAUCUACUUUUUCGUGGGGGAUAACGUAGGGAAACUUACGCUAAUACCGCAUACGACCUACGGGUGAAAGCAUGGGAUCUUCGGACCUUGCGCGAUUUAAUGAGCCGAUGUCGGAUUAGCUAGUUGGCGGGGUAAAGGCCCACCAAGGCGACGAUCCGUAGCUGGUCUGAGAGGAUUAUCAGCCACAUUAGAAAUGACAUACGGUCAAGACUCCGACGGGAAGCAGCAGUGGGGAAUAUUGGAAAAUGGGGGCAAGCCUGAUCCAGAAAGACCGCGUGGAUGAGGAAGGCAUUCAGGUUGUAAAGCCUUUUUGUUGGGAAAGAAAAGCAGAAGGUUAAUACCCCGCUGUUCUGACGGUACCCAAAGAAUAAGCACAGGCUAACUACGUG